This 337-nucleotide RNase P RNA is filed under the name Pseudomonadota bacterium. Its description in RNAcentral is "RNase P RNA component class A". It matches the Rfam family "Bacterial RNase P class A". Rfam says of the family: Ribonuclease P (RNase P) is a ubiquitous endoribonuclease, found in archaea, bacteria and eukarya as well as chloroplasts and mitochondria. Its best characterised activity is the generation of mature 5'-ends of tRNAs by cleaving the 5'-leader elements of precursor-tRNAs. The record is from RNAcentral. Lineage: Bacteria; Pseudomonadati; Pseudomonadota.
CAAGUAGGCUAGACAGUCGCUGUAUUUUGGAUACAGAGGAAAGUCCGGGCUCCAUAGAGCAGGAUGCCGGUUAAUGACCGGAGGCCGUGAGGUCUGGAAAGUGCCACAGAAAAUAUACCGCCAGGGAAACCUGGCAAGGGUGAAAAGGUGCGGUAAGAGCGCACCGCGCUGACGGUAACGUUAGUGGCAGGGUAAACCCCAUUCGGAGCAAGACCAAGCAGAGGGCAAAAGCGUGGCUCGCGCUGUUCUCGGGUAGGUUGCUAGAGCGUGCAGGUAACUGGGCGCCAAGAUAAAUGACUGUCCUAGACAGAACCCGGCUUAUCGGUCUGCUUGCUUU